This 476-nucleotide ribosomal RNA is filed under the name Sphyraena qenie (blackfin barracuda). RNAcentral describes it as "partial small subunit ribosomal RNA". It matches the Rfam family "Bacterial small subunit ribosomal RNA", at positions 788 to 1491 of the family's 1533-position model. Lineage: Eukaryota; Metazoa; Chordata; Actinopteri; Sphyraenidae. The record is from RNAcentral.
CACUAUGCUCAGCCCUAAACAUUGAUUGUUUACUACAACCCCAAUCCGCCAGGGAAUUACGGACGCCAGUCUGAAACCCAAAGGACUUGGCGGUGCUUUACAUCCACCUAGAGGAGCCUGUCCUAUAACCGAUAAUCCCCGUUCAACCUCACCCUCUCUUGCUCUUCCCGCCUAUAUACCGCCGUCGUCAGCCCACCCUGUGAAGGCUAAAUAGUGAGCACAAUUGGCACAGCCCAGUACGUCAGGUCGAGGUGUAGUGAAUGAGAGGGGAAGAGAUGGGCUACAUUCGCUAAUUGUAGCGAAUACGAACACUGCAUUGAAACAUGCGGCUGAAGGUGGAUUUAGUAGUAAGUAGGGAGCAGAGUGUCCUACUGAAACCGGCUCUAAAGCGCGUACACACCGCCCGUCACCCUCUCUAAGUCUCCAGAACUGCACUAAUUAAGAACCUUCAACUGCAAAAGAGAGGAAAGUCGUAA